GACAGAGGUCCCGAGCGUUAGGCGGAAUCACUGGGCUUAAAGCGUGUGUAGGCGGAUCGUUAAGUGCCUUGUGAAAUCCCAUGGCUUAACCAUGGAACUGCUCGGCAUACUGGCGAUCUUGAGCCACUUAGGGGCAACCGGAACAAAUGGUGGAGCGGUGAAAUGCGUAGAUAUCGGAAGGAACAUCAGUGGCGAAAGCGGCUUCCUGGACCAGUACCGACGUUCAGGCACGAAAGCGUGGGGAGCAAACAGG
Molecule: ribosomal RNA, 253 nt
Filed under: uncultured bacterium
Lineage: Bacteria
Description: partial 16S ribosomal RNA
Rfam family: Bacterial small subunit ribosomal RNA
Source: RNAcentral